UGGAGCGGUGCGAGAGCGGUCGAAUCGGGCUCCCUGCUAAGGAGUUGUGCCCCGAAAGGGUACCGGGGGUUCGAAUCCCCCCUGCUCCGA
This 90-nucleotide transfer RNA is filed under the name Spirochaetia bacterium. Its description in RNAcentral is "tRNA-Ser". It matches the Rfam family "tRNA". Rfam says of the family: Transfer RNA (tRNA) molecules are approximately 80 nucleotides in length. Their secondary structure includes four short double-helical elements and three loops (D, anti-codon, and T loops). Further hydrogen bonds mediate the characteristic L-shaped molecular structure. tRNAs have two regions of fundamental functional importance: the anti-codon, which is responsible for specific mRNA codon recognition, and the 3' end, to which the tRNAs corresponding amino acid is attached (by aminoacyl-tRNA synthetases). tRNAs cope with the degeneracy of the genetic code in two manners: having more than one tRNA (with a specific anti-codon) for a particular amino acid; and 'wobble' base-pairing, i.e. permitting non-standard base-pairing at the 3rd anti-codon position. Lineage: Bacteria; Pseudomonadati; Spirochaetota; Spirochaetia. The record is from RNAcentral.